GCGAAAGCGACGUUCAACCGCAAAAGAAGCAGAGGGGGCUUAGUGGUGGGGUGACUGCGUACCUUUUGUAUAAUGGGUCAGCGACUUAUAUUCUGUAGCAAGGUUAACCGAAUAGGGGAGCCGGAGGGAAACCGAGUCUUAACCGGGCGUUAAGUUGCAGGGUAUAGACCCGAAACCCGGUGAUCUAGCCAUGGGCAGGUUGAAGGUUGGGUAACACUAACUGGAGGACCGAACCGACUAAUGUUGAAAAAUUAGCGGAUGACCUGUGGCUGGGGGUGAAAGGCCAAUCAAACCGGGAGAUAGCUGGUUCUCCCCGAAAGCUAUUUAGGUAGCGCCUCGUGAAUUCAUCUCCGGGGGUAGAGCACUGUUUCGGCUAGGGGGCCAUCCCGGCUUACCAACCCGAUGCAAACUGCGAAUACCGGAGAAUGUUAUCACGGGAGACACACGGCGGGUGCUAACGUCCGUCGUGAAGAGGGAAACAACCCAGACCGCCAGCUAAGGUCCCAAAGUCAUGGUUAAGUGGGAAACGAUGUGGGAAGGCCCAGACAGCCAGGAUGUUGGCUUAGAAGCAGCCAUCAUUUAAAGAAAGCGUAAUAGCUCACUGGUCGAGUCGGCCUGCGCGGAAGAUGUAACGGGGCUAAACCAU
Molecule: ribosomal RNA, 646 nt
Filed under: Salmonella enterica subsp. enterica serovar Hull
Lineage: Bacteria; Pseudomonadati; Pseudomonadota; Gammaproteobacteria; Enterobacterales; Enterobacteriaceae
Description: partial 23S ribosomal RNA
Rfam family: Bacterial large subunit ribosomal RNA
Source: RNAcentral